Molecule: ribosomal RNA, 1345 nt
Filed under: uncultured bacterium
Lineage: Bacteria
Description: bacterial SSU rRNA
Rfam family: Bacterial small subunit ribosomal RNA
Source: RNAcentral
GAUGAACGCUUGCGGGAGGCCUAACACAUGCAAGCCGAGCGGUAUUGUUUCUUCGGAAAUGAGAGAGCGGCGUACGGGUGCGGAACACGUGUGCAACCUGCCUUUAUCUGGGGGAUAGCCUUUCGAAAGGAAGAUUAAUACUCCAUAAUAUAUUGAACGGCAUCGUUUAAUAUUGAAAGCUCCGGCGGAUAGAGAUGGGCACGCGCAAGAUUAGCUAGUUGGUGAGGUAACGGCUCACCAAGGCGAUGAUCUUUAGGGGGCCUGAGAGGGUGAUCCCCCACACUGGUACUGAGACACGGACCAGACUCCUACGGGAGGCAGCAGUGAGGAAUAUUGGUCAAUGGGUGCAAGCCUGAACCAGCCAUCCCGCGUGAAGGACGACUGCCCUAUGGGUUGUAAACUUCUUUUGUAUAGGGAUAAACCUACCCUCGUGAGGGUAGCUGAAGGUACUAUACGAAUAAGCACCGGCUAACUCCGUGCCAGCAGCCGCGGUAAUACGGAGGGUGCAAGCGUUAUCCGGAUUUAUUGGGUUUAAAGGGUCCGUAGGCGGACUUAUAAGUCAGUGGUGAAAGCCUGUCGCUUAACGAUAGAACUGCCAUUGAUACUGUAAGUCUUGAGUAUAUUUGAGGUAGCUGGAAUAAGUAGUGUAGCGGUGAAAUGCAUAGAUAUUACUUAGAACACCAAUUGCGAAGGCGGGUUACCAAGAUAUAACUGACGCUGAGGGACGAGAGCGUGGGGAGCGAACAGGAUUAGAUACCCUGGUAGUCCACGCCGUAAACGAUGCUAACUCGUUUUUGGGCUUUAGGGUUCAGAGACCAAGCGAAAGUGAUAAGUUAGCCACCUGGGGAGUACGCUCGCAAGAGUGAAACUCAAAGGAAUUGACGGGGGCCCGCACAAGCGGUGGAUUAUGUGGUUUAAUUCGAUGAUACGCGAGGAACCUUACCAAGACUUAAAUGGGAAUUGACAGCUUUAGAAAUAGAGCUUUCUUCGGACAAUUUUCAAGGUGCUGCAUGGUUGUCGUCAGCUCGUGCCGUGAGGUGUUAGGUUAAGUCCUGCAACGAGCGCAACCCCUGUCACUAGUUGCCAUCAUUCAGUUGGGGACUCUAGUGAGACUGCCUACGCAAGUAGAGAGGAAGGUGGGGAUGACGUCAAAUCAUCACGGCCCUUACGUCUUGGGCCACACACGUAAUACAAUGGCCGGUACAGAGGGCAGCUACACAGCGAUGUGAUGCAAAUCUCGAAAGCCGGUCUCAGUUCGGAUUGGAGUCUGCAACUCGACUCUAUGAAGCUGGAAUCGCUAGUAAUCGCGCAUCAGCCAUGGCGCGGUGAAUACGUUCCCGGGCCU